This 675-nucleotide ribosomal RNA is filed under the name uncultured eukaryote. RNAcentral describes it as "SSU rRNA". It matches the Rfam family "Eukaryotic small subunit ribosomal RNA", at positions 382 to 1059 of the family's 1831-position model. The record is from RNAcentral.
UCCGGAGAGGGAGCCUGAGAAACGGCUACCACAUCCAAGGGAGGCAGCAGGCGCGCAAAUUACCCAAUCCUGACACAGGGAGGUAGUGACAAGAAAUAACAAUACAGGGCUACUACUAGUCUUGUAAUUGGAAUGAGUACAAUUUAAAUCCCUUAACGAGGAUCAAUUGGAGGGCAAGUCUGGUGCCAGCAGCCGCGGUAAUUCCAGCUCCAAUAGCGUAUAUUAAAGUUGUUGCAGUUAAAAAGCUCGUAGUCGGAUUCCAGGGCGGGGCGACCGGUCUGCCGAUGGGUAUGCACUGGUUGGCGCGUCCUUCCUUCUGGAGACCGUGCCUACUCUUAACUGAGCGGGGACGGGAAGCAGAUCGUUUACUUUGAAAAAAUCAGAGUGUUUAAAGCAGGCCAAGAUUGCUCUUGCAUGGAUUAGCAUGGGAUAAUGAAAUAGGACUUUGGUGCUAUUUUGUUGGUUUCGAACACCGAAGUAAUGAUUAAUAGGGAUAGUCAGGGGCACUCGUAUUCCGUCGAGAGAGGUGAAAUUCUCAGACCAAUGGAAGACGAACUACUGCGAAAGCAUUUGCCAGGGAUGUUUUCNCUGAUCAAGAACGAAAGUUAGGGGAUCGAANACGAUCAGAUACCGUCGUAGUCUUAACCAUAAACCAUGCCGACUAGGGAUUGGAGG